UGAGGUGCCCGACGCAUAACAUUUUGAACGUGCCACGGAGGAUCAAGGCAAAAAACGAGAGCAAAAAAUGGUGCACGCUGAAGGCGGAAAUGAAGCAUGAUCUGGCUUGCAUCUGGUCAUGAAGAAAUUGCUGACACGUUAGUUGCAGUCCACCUCCACCAACAGGGUGGAAAACAAAGAUCGCCAUUCCGAUUAGCUGCUAUCUCCCAGUUCAAGCACUUUUGUGUCUGGACACUGGUUCCUGUGGAUGGGGUGUUACAAGCUUUACUGUCUGAUAUAGAAGUGAUGAGCAUCCAUAAGGACACAUGCCAGAAAGGGAGUCUCUUUGGGAUGACAAACCCUCAUCACCUCAUGAGGAUACAAUGGUUGACGAAUGGUUCUCAAGCACA
Molecule: long non-coding RNA, 389 nt
Organism: Ornithodoros turicata
Lineage: Eukaryota; Metazoa; Arthropoda; Arachnida; Ixodida; Argasidae
Exons: 4
Source: RefSeq, a predicted model, not a curated record